AGAGUUUGAUCCUGGCUCAGGAUGAACGCUGGCGGUAUGCUUAACACAUGCAAGUCGAACGGAUGUUUUCGGACAUUAGUGGCGGACGGGUGAGUAACGCGUGAGAAUCUAGCUUCAGGUUGGGGACAACAGUUGGAAACGACUGCUAAUACCGAAUGUGCCGAAAGGUGAAAGAUUUAUUGCCUGAAGAAGAGCUCGCGUCUGAUUAGCUAGUUGGUGGGGUAAGAGCUUACCAAGGCGACGAUCGGUAGCUGGUCUGAGAGGACGAUCAGCCACACUGGGACUGAGACACGGCCCAGACUCCUACGGGAGGCAGCAGUGGGGAAUUUUCCGCAAUGGGCGAAAGCCUGACGGAGCAAUACCGCGUGAGGGAAGAAGGCUCUUGGGUUGUAAACCUCUUUUCUGAGGGAAGAAAAAAAUGACGGUACCUCAGGAAUCAGCAUCGGCUAACUCCGUGCCAGCAGCCGCGGUAAUACGGAGGAUGCAAGCGUUAUCCGGAAUGAUUGGGCGUAAAGCGUCCGCAGUGGGCAAUUCAAGUCUGCGGUUAAAGGUUCUGGCUCAACCAGAGACAGGCCGUGGAAACUGAAUAGCUAGAGUAUGGUAGGGGCAGAGGGAAUUCCCAGUGUAGCGGUGAAAUGCGUAGAGAUUGGGGAA
Molecule: ribosomal RNA, 654 nt
Filed under: uncultured cyanobacterium
Lineage: Bacteria; Bacillati; Cyanobacteriota
Description: bacterial SSU rRNA
Rfam family: Bacterial small subunit ribosomal RNA
Source: RNAcentral